RNAcentral lists this ribosomal RNA (305 nucleotides) under uncultured bacterium. RNAcentral describes it as "bacterial SSU rRNA". It matches the Rfam family "Bacterial small subunit ribosomal RNA", at positions 333 to 653 of the family's 1533-position model. The record is from RNAcentral.
GUUGGCCUACGGGACGCAGCAGUGGGGAAUAUUGGGCAAUGGGCGCAAGCCUGACCCAGCAAUGCCGCGUGAAGGAAGAAGGCUUUCGGGUUGUAAACUUCUUUUGACAGGGAAGAGCAGAAGACGGUACCUGUCGAAUAAGCCACGGCUAAUUACGUGCCAGCAGCCGCGGUAAUACGGAGGUGGCAAGCGUUGUCCGGAUUUACUGGGGGUAAAGGGCGUGUAGCCGGGCUGACAAGUCAGAUGUGAGAUCCGGGGGCUCACCGCCCGAACUGCAUUUGAAACUGUUGGUCUUGAGUAUCGGG